UGAGACUGAACAGUAGUAGACUGAAGAUACUGGCAGGCACUCAGUAAUAUUUCACUUCUAUUCAUGUACUUGACCACAAGAGGGCAAUGAUUUCCAACACAAAAAUGCCACAUGUCAAUUUAUUGUGAUGGUUUCUACUCACAAAUUCUGCCUCUUCUUAUGUCUUCACUUUAUGUCGAACUGUGAAGACCUUAGAUGAGGAAUGAGCUCUAAGGUUAUAAAAUCAAUCUGAGAACAACAACAAAAAAAGGUGGGGGGUGAAUUUGCUUAAGAUUAGAAACGUUGGUCAUUGAAUCUGCCUUCUGUAGCCUUCUCCUUGGGAGAGAAGGACCAGUUCCAGGGAAGGAUUUGUUGUUUCUCCGAAAUCUGCUUCCCCACUGCUGGAUCAGCCAUGCUCUCUGCUCCCACCUCAGUGAUCGGGAUUCUGUUACUAUUUGGGGGUACCUAUGGAGAUUCAGUGACCCAGACAGAAGGACACAUCACCCUGCCUGAGCGAGCACCACUCACACUGAACUGUUCUUAUCAGACCAGUGGAACACCUUAUCUCUUCUGGUAUAUCCAGUAUCCCAAUGAAGCUCUCAAGCUCCUCCUGAGAGAGACAUCAGGAAAAGACCAGCAGAAGGACAACAAUGGAUUUUGGGCCCAAAAGAUUAAGGAAAAGUCUUUCUUCCAGCUGGAGAAAACUUCAGUCCAAACGGGAGAUUCUGCUGUGUACUAUUGUGUUCUGAAUGACACAGUGAUGGGGACUGCAGGGGGAGCUGAACACAAACCCUCAGAGGCACAGGAGUGAUCUUGAGUCUAGCCAGCCUUGGAAGCGGGGUUUGACUCUGUUCCUCCCAGACAAGGACAUGUGGGAACAUCCCC
Vombatus ursinus (common wombat) is the source of this 864-nucleotide non-coding RNA. Lineage: Eukaryota; Metazoa; Chordata; Mammalia; Diprotodontia; Vombatidae. The record is from the annotation of a RefSeq genome assembly.